This 545-nucleotide ribosomal RNA is filed under the name Haliotis iris (paua abalone). RNAcentral describes it as "partial 16S ribosomal RNA". It matches the Rfam family "Bacterial large subunit ribosomal RNA", at positions 1810 to 2607 of the family's 2925-position model. Lineage: Eukaryota; Metazoa; Mollusca; Gastropoda; Lepetellida; Haliotidae. The record is from RNAcentral.
AAAACAUCGCUCCUUGGUGCAGAUUUGAAUAAGGAGUCGGACCUGCCCGGUGACCUACGGGUUAAACGGCCGCGGUACACUGACCGUGCAAAGGUAGCACAAUCACUUGCCUUUUAAUUGGAGGCUGGUAUGAAUGGUUUGACGAGGGCUGAGCUGUCUCUCCUUGAAUAUUUAAAAAUUAACUUCUAGGUGAAAAGGCCUAGAUUAAGCUGAGGGACGAGAAGACCCUGUUGAGCUUUAGUGUGGAGUGGAGUGGUUGUUCCUAUUGUGAUAGAGGACUUUAGGUUUGUUCUUACAUCUUUAGUUGGGGUGACUAGGGAACAUAGAAAGCUUCUCUGUUGAUUUUGUGGAUUUUUAGUUUACUGACGAAUGAUCCAGCAUUGUUGAUUAUCGGAAAAAGUUACCACAGGGAUAACAGCGUAAUCUUUCUGGAGAGUUCACAUUGAAAGAAGGGUUUGCGACCUCGAUGUUGGAUUAAGGUGUCCUGAGGGUGUAGCAGCUUUCAUUGGUUGGUCUGUUCGACCAUUAAAACCUUACGUGAUCUG